RNAcentral lists this ribosomal RNA (301 nucleotides) under uncultured bacterium. RNAcentral describes it as "partial 16S ribosomal RNA". It matches the Rfam family "Bacterial small subunit ribosomal RNA", at positions 509 to 807 of the family's 1533-position model. The record is from RNAcentral.
CAGUAGCCGCGGUAAAACGGAGGGUGCAAGCGUUAAUCGGAAUUACUGGGCGUAAAGCGUGCGUAGGCGGUUCGUUAAAUCUGUUGUGAAAGCCCCGGGCUCAACCUAGGAAUGGCAAUGGAUACUGGCGAGCUAGAGUGUGUCAGAGGAUGGUGGAAUUCCCGGUGUAGCGGUGAAAUGCGUAGAGAUCGGGAGGAACAUCAGUGGCGAAGGCGGCCAUCUGGGACAACACUGACGCUGAGGCACGAAAGCGUGGGGAGCAAACAGGAUUAGAUACCCGAGUAGUCCCUGUCUCUUAUAC